UCCAGACUCCUACGGGAGGCAGCAGUGGGGAAUAUUGGACAAUGGGGGGAACCCUGAUCCAGCGACGCCGCGUGAGUGAAGAAGUAUUUCGGUAUGUAAAGCUCUCUCAGCAGGGAAGAAAGAAAUGACGGUACCUGACUAAGAAGCCCCGGCUAACUACGUGCCAGCAGCCGCGGUAAUACGUAGGGGGCAAGCGUUAUCCGGAAUUACUGGGUGUAAAGGGAGCGUAGACGGUGAUGCAAGUCUGGAGUGAAAGGCGGGGGCCCAACCCCCGGACUGCUCUGGAAACUGUGUAACUUGAGUGCAGGAGAGGUAAGCGGAAUUCCUAGUGUAGCGGUGAAAUGCGUAGAUAUUAGGAGGAACACCAGUGGCGAAGGCGGCUUACUGGACUGUAACUGACGUUGAGGCUCGAAAGCGUGGGGAGCAAACAGGAUUAGAUACCCGCGUAGA
RNAcentral lists this ribosomal RNA (450 nucleotides) under uncultured bacterium. RNAcentral's name for it is "bacterial SSU rRNA". It matches the Rfam family "Bacterial small subunit ribosomal RNA", at positions 330 to 794 of the family's 1533-position model. The record is from RNAcentral.